AGUAUUUUGACUAUACAAAGGUAUUGAAAUAAGAUUUUAAUUGAAUGCUAAGAGAAUGGAAUUUCAGGAAAAAACUUUUUUCAAGUUAAAAAUUGAAAUUUUUUCAAUUUGUGCAGAAACAAUUAUUAAUAUUAAGGACAAGAAGACCCUAUGAAUUUAUAAAUUUUAUUUAAUAUGUAACUACUAUUGAAAAAAUUUUAGCUGGGGCGGCGGAAAAAUAUUUAAAACUUUUUUAAAAUAAAAUGACCCAUUAUUAAUGAUUAUAUGUUAAAUA
This 274-nucleotide ribosomal RNA is filed under the name Rhipicephalus sp. Morphotype 2. Its description in RNAcentral is "partial 16S ribosomal RNA". Lineage: Eukaryota; Metazoa; Arthropoda; Arachnida; Ixodida; Ixodidae. The record is from RNAcentral.